RNAcentral lists this non-coding RNA (819 nucleotides) under Pseudopaludicola falcipes (Hensel's swamp frog). The record is from RNAcentral. Lineage: Eukaryota; Metazoa; Chordata; Amphibia; Anura; Leptodactylidae.
UUGGCCCGCCUUAAAUCAGUUGUUACUUAAUAUACACAUGCAAGUAUCAGCACCCCUGGAGAACGCCCUUAAAUCCCAAUUGGGAUAAGGAGCUGGUAUCGGCCUUUUCCCGCCCAAGACACCUAGCCACGCCACACCUCAAGGAAUCAGCAGUGAUAAACAUUGACAAUAAGCGACAGCUUGACCCAGUUAAAGUAAAAAGAGCCGGCUAAUCUGGUGCCAGCCGCCGCGUACACCACGUGGCUCAAAUGAUUUUAUCGGCGUAAAGCGUGAUUAAAGUUCUCUUAAUUUGAGUAAAAACUAAGCGUGACACGCUUGUUAGAACCAAAACGAAAGUACCCAACACUUGAAUCACGACAGCUGAAACAAACUGGGAUUAGAUACCCCACUAUGCUAGCCGUAAACUUUAAUACACCUAUCGCCGGGAACUACGAGCAAAGCUUAAAACCCAAAGGACUUGACGGUACCCCAACCACUAGAGGAGCCUGUCCUAUAACGAUAACCCCGUUAACCUCACCACUUUUGCCUAUCAGCCUGUAUACCUCCGUCGUCAGCUUACCACGUGAGCGCUAUUGAUGAGCUUAAUGCCCCUACGCCAACACGUCAGGUCAAGGUGCAGCUAAUAAGUGGGAAGAGAUGGGCUACACUUUCUAUAUUAAAGAACGAAAGACUAAUAUGAAAUCUAGUCAGAAGAGGAUUUAGUAGUAAAAAGAAAACACAGUGUUCUUUUUACCCGGCACUGGGGUGUGUACACACCCCGUCACCCUCUUCAGGCCUAAUAAGUAUAUAACGUACCCUGCAAAGGCAAGUCUACGGUAU